AUUGAACGCUGGCGGCAUGCUUUACACAUGCAAGUCGAACGGUAACAGGGUGCUUGCACCGCUGACGAGUGGCGAACGGGUGAGUAAUGCGUCGGAACGUGCCGAGUAGUGGGGGAUAACGCAGCGAAAGUUGUGCUAAUACCGCAUACGUACUGAGGUAGAAAGUGGGGGACCUUCGGGCCUCACGCUAUUCGAGCGGCCGACGUCUGAUUAGCUAGUAGGUGAGGUAAAGGCUCACCUAGGCGACGAUCAGUAGCGGGUCUGAGAGGAUGAUCCGCCACACUGGGACUGAGACACGGCCCAGACUCCUACGGGAGGCAGCAGUGGGGAAUUUUGGACGAUGGGCGAAAGCCUGAUCCAGCCAUGCCGCGUGUCUGAAGAAGGCCUUCGGGUUGUAAAGGACUUUUGUCAGGGAGGAAAUCCCUAGUGCUAAUAACACUGGGGGAUGACAGUACCUGAAGAACAAGCACCGGCUAACUACGUGCCAGCAGCCGCGGUAA
RNAcentral lists this ribosomal RNA (500 nucleotides) under uncultured bacterium. RNAcentral's name for it is "partial 16S ribosomal RNA". It matches the Rfam family "Bacterial small subunit ribosomal RNA", at positions 30 to 523 of the family's 1533-position model. The record is from RNAcentral.